Molecule: ribosomal RNA, 480 nt
Filed under: uncultured bacterium
Lineage: Bacteria
Description: bacterial SSU rRNA
Rfam family: Bacterial small subunit ribosomal RNA
Source: RNAcentral
GACAACGCUGGCGGCGUGCUUAAUACAUGCAAGUCAACUGAACUUAAGAUAGCAAUAUUUUAAGGGAGGUGGCGCACGGGUGAGUAACACGUAGGUAAUCUGCCUUUAGGUCUGACACAACCCCGAGAAAUCGGGGCUAAUAUCAGAUGAUGCAGCGGCUCGACAUCGAGACAGUUGUUAAACCUUCGGGGCCUAAAGAUGAGCCUGCGUCUGAUUAGGUAGUUGGCGGAGUAAAAGCCCACCAAGCCUGCGAUCAGUAGCUGGUCUGAGAGGAUGAUCAGCCACACUGGAACUGAGACACGGUCCAGACUCCUACGGGAGGCAGCAGUAAGGAAUAUUGCUCAAUGGCCGAAAGGCUGAAGCAGCAACGCCGCGUGGAGGAUGAAAUACUUUUGUAUGUAAACUCCUGUAAGAAGGGAAAAAUAUUCCGAUUUAUCGGGAUUGAUUGUACCUUCAGAGUAAGCCCCGGCUAACUACGUG